Molecule: long non-coding RNA, 507 nt
Filed under: Theobroma cacao (cacao)
Lineage: Eukaryota; Viridiplantae; Streptophyta; Magnoliopsida; Malvales; Malvaceae
Description: long non-coding RNA (TCAC_LNC003592)
Source: RNAcentral
AGAUAUCCUCGGGCCAUGGCUGAGACCCAGACGCCGGACACGGCGAUUUAAAAGGAGUGUUGAGCCACGUAUCGACGAUUUCCUUAGCGGUAUCUUUAGAAGUUGACAUGCCGGAGAGGGCUAAAACGUUGCAGUUAUUGAUGGAGCGGUUGUUGCGGGCUUCGUCGGAAGUGAGACACGUGGUGGCGAAAACGCCCGGGAAUUUGUUGGCGAAUAUCCCGACUCCGACGCCCGUUCCGCAAGCAAGGAGGCCACGGGUUUCGACAUCGGGCGAGGCGGUGGUACAUGAUGAGACCCGACGGCCGACUUCGGCGCCGACGUUGUAAUAGGAGGUGGUACCGAGGUCUUCGACUUCGAUGCUGAGGGAUUGGAGGUGGGAUACCAUCGCGUCUUUCAGCUCGGCGCCGAAGGAGUCCGCUCCCGCGAUGAUCUUGAGGGGGCGAGGUGCGGUGGCGGUGGCUGUGGCUGCAGCGGGAUCGGCCAUGGUACGGACGUAGGGGAGUAACU